RNAcentral lists this ribosomal RNA (521 nucleotides) under uncultured bacterium. RNAcentral's name for it is "bacterial SSU rRNA". It matches the Rfam family "Bacterial small subunit ribosomal RNA", at positions 777 to 1297 of the family's 1533-position model. The record is from RNAcentral.
AAUAGAUACCCCGGUAGUCCACGCCGUAAACGAUGAGUGCUAAGUGUUAGAGGGUUUCCGCCCUUUAGUGCUGCAGCUAACGCAUUAAGCACUCCGCCUGGGGAGUACGGUCGCAAGACUGAAACUCAAAGGAAUUGACGGGGGCCCGCACAAGCGGUGGAGCAUGUGGUUUAAUUCGAAGCAACGCGAAGAACCUUACCAGGUCUUGACAUCCUCUGACAACUCUAGAGAUAGAGCGUUCCCCUUCGGGGGACAGAGUGACAGGUGGUGCAUGGUUGUCGUCAGCUCGUGUCGUGAGAUGUUGGGUUAAGUCCCGCAACGAGCGCAACCCUUGAUCUUAGUUGCCAGCAUUUAGUUGGGCACUCUAAGGUGACUGCCGGUGACAAACCGGAGGAAGGUGGGGAUGACGUCAAAUCAUCAUGCCCCUUAUGACCUGGGCUACACACGUGCUACAAUGGAUGGUACAAAGGGCUGCAAGACCACGAGGUCAAGCCAAUCCCAUAAACCAUUCUCAGUUCGGA